Molecule: microRNA precursor, 55 nt
Organism: Gadus morhua (Atlantic cod)
Lineage: Eukaryota; Metazoa; Chordata; Actinopteri; Gadiformes; Gadidae
Source: Ensembl
UGUAACAGCAUCUCCAUAUGGAUGAGUGUCUGGUGUCCAGUGGAGCUGCUGUUAU